AGGAUGAACGCUGGCGGCGUGCCUAACACAUGCAAGUCGAACGUCCUGUCUCGCAAGAGGCAGGGAGUGGCGGACGGGUGAGUACCACGUGGGUCAUCUACCGUGAGGUGAGGAAUACCGGCGAGAAAUCGCCGACAAGACCGCAUAGGCUCGAUGCAAGUCGAGCAAAGCUCUUUCGAGAGAGGGAGCGCCACACGAGGAGCCUGCGCCCGAUUAGCUAGCUGGUGGAGUAACGGUUCACCAGGGCGACGAUCGGUAGCUGGUCUGAGAGGACGAUCAGCCACACUGGGAUUGAGAACGGCCCAGACUCCUACGGGGGGCAGCAGUGAGGAAUUUUCGCAAUGGGGGCAACCCUGAACGAGCAACGCCGCGUUCAGGAAGAAGGUUUUCGGAUCGUAAACUGCUUUUCUCGGGGAAGAGAACGGACGGUACCCGAGGAAUCAGCCCCGGCUAACUACGUGCCAGCAGCCGCGGU
RNAcentral lists this ribosomal RNA (475 nucleotides) under uncultured bacterium. RNAcentral's name for it is "SSU rRNA". It matches the Rfam family "Bacterial small subunit ribosomal RNA", at positions 26 to 521 of the family's 1533-position model. The record is from RNAcentral.